Molecule: long non-coding RNA, 540 nt
Organism: Temnothorax curvispinosus
Lineage: Eukaryota; Metazoa; Arthropoda; Insecta; Hymenoptera; Formicidae
Exons: 3
Source: RefSeq, a predicted model, not a curated record
AUUAAGCGAGAAAGGUCAAGAAACAUUUCGACUAUAUUGCAACAACGUCGUAAAAUUAAUGCAAUAUAGCCGAAAUGGCUUCUUGGUUUUUCUUUGCAUUGCCACGAGUCUCAAUGUGGCUCGAGACUCCUAUUUGACCCAAAGGUGGAGGUGGAUUUUGCGGCCAGAGCAGCCUGAAAGAAAGUGAAAAUAACGACGCUGAACGUGACAUCGGAGCAGCGAGGGAAUCCUGCGUAGCUGACAUUCCGAGCAGCCUGAGAGGAGGAGGAGGCCUAGGAUAGGCAUCGGGCAUCAACGUACCAACACUUCUGAAAAUAUUGACGCUGGAAGGACCAUCAGCUUCGCAUCGAGGGAACACGAUGGACAUCUCGAGCAGCCUGAGAGGAAGUAUUCACAUUAGCUCAAUAUUGUGCAGGAACUUGAUUAUCUCUUUCGGAUCUCACGUCAUUAAUUCUUUAUUUCUCAUCCUUUUGAGACUCGAUAUGCGAAACGAUAUCGAAAAAAAUGGGUCUUAGAUUUUUUCAGUUUGCGUUAGUCAAU